UGCUUCUUUUUCUACGUCAUUCGCGGACAC
This 30-nucleotide small RNA is filed under the name Bombyx mori (domestic silkworm). Its description in RNAcentral is "ovarian small RNA-34297". Lineage: Eukaryota; Metazoa; Arthropoda; Insecta; Lepidoptera; Bombycidae. The record is from RNAcentral.